RNAcentral lists this ribosomal RNA (421 nucleotides) under uncultured bacterium. RNAcentral describes it as "bacterial SSU rRNA". It matches the Rfam family "Bacterial small subunit ribosomal RNA", at positions 361 to 774 of the family's 1533-position model. The record is from RNAcentral.
AUCUUCCGCAAUGGGCGAAAGCCUGACGGAGCAACGCCGCGUGAGUGAUGAAGGGUUUCGCCUCGUAAAACUCUGUUAUUAGGGUAGAACAAAUGUGUAAGUAACUGUGCACAUCUUGACGGUACCUAAUCAGAAAGCUACGGCUAACUACGUGCCAGCAGCCGCGGUAAUACGUAGGUGGCAAGCGUUAUCCGGAAUUAUUGGGCGUAAAGCGCGCGUAGGCGGUUUCUUAAGUCUGAUGUGAAAGCCAGCGGCUCAACCGUGGAGGGUCAUUGGAAACUGGGAAACUUGAGUACAGAAGAGGAAAGUGGAAUUCCAUGUGUAGCGGUGAAAUGCGCAGAGAUAUGGAGGAACGCCAGUGGCGAAGGCGACUUUCUGGUCUGUAACUGACGCUGAUGUGCGAAAGCGUGGGGAUCAAACA